RNAcentral lists this ribosomal RNA (499 nucleotides) under uncultured bacterium. RNAcentral describes it as "partial 16S ribosomal RNA". It matches the Rfam family "Bacterial small subunit ribosomal RNA", at positions 28 to 507 of the family's 1533-position model. The record is from RNAcentral.
GACGAACGCUGGCGGCGUGCCUAAUACAUGCAAGUCGAGCGGACUGAAUGGGAGCUUGCUCUUGUUCGGUCAGCGGCGGACGGGUGAGUAACACGUGGGCAACCUGCCCGCAAGACCGGGAUAACUCCGGGAAACCGGAGCUAAUACCGGAUAACACCGAAGACCGCAUGGUCUUUGGUUGAAAGGCGGCGCAAGCUGCCACUUGCGGAUGGGCCCGCGGCGCAUUAGCUAGUUGGUGAGGUAACGGCUCACCAAGGCGACGAUGCGUAGCCGGCCUGAGAGGGUGACCGGCCACACUGGGACUGAGACACGGCCCAGACUCCUACGGGAGGCAGCAGUAGGGAAUCUUACGCAAUGGGCGAAAGCCUGACGGAGCGACGCCGCGUGAGCGAAGAAGGCCGUCGGGUCGUAAAGCUCUGUUGUGAGGGACGAAGGAGCGCCGUUUGAAGAAGGCGGCGCGGUGACGGUACCUCACGAGGAAGCCCCGGCUAACUACGUG